GACGAACCGUGCGAACGUUGUUCGGAAUCACUGGGCGUAAAGGGCGCGUAGGCGGCGUUUUAAGUCGGGGGUGAAAGCCUGUGGCUCAACCACAGAAUGGCCUUCGAUACUGGGACGCUUGAGUAUGGUAGAGGUUGGUGGAACUGCGAGUGUAGAGGUGAAAUUCGUAGAUAUUCGCAAGAACACCGGUGGCGAAGGCGGCCAACUGGACCAUUACUGACGCUGAGGCGCGAAAGCGUGGGGAGCAAACAGG
Molecule: ribosomal RNA, 253 nt
Filed under: uncultured bacterium
Lineage: Bacteria
Description: partial 16S ribosomal RNA
Rfam family: Bacterial small subunit ribosomal RNA
Source: RNAcentral